UACGGAGGGUGCGAGCGUUGUUCGGAAUCACUGGGCGUAAAGCGCGUGUAGGCGGCCCUUUAAGUCCGAUGUGAAAGCCCGGGGCUCACCCCCGGAAGUGCAUUGGAUACUGAAGGGCUGGAGUACCGGAGAGGAGGGUGGAAUUCCUGGUGUAGCGGUGAAAUGCGUAGAUAUCAGGAAGAACACCCGUGGCGAAAGCGGCUCUCUGGAACGGUACUGACGCUGAGACGCGAAAGCGUGGGGAGCGAACAGG
RNAcentral lists this ribosomal RNA (253 nucleotides) under uncultured bacterium. Its description in RNAcentral is "partial 16S ribosomal RNA". It matches the Rfam family "Bacterial small subunit ribosomal RNA", at positions 524 to 776 of the family's 1533-position model. The record is from RNAcentral.